AACGAACGCUGGCGGCGUGCUUAACACAUGCAAGUCGAACGCGAAAGGGAACUUCGGUCCUGAGUAAAGUGGCGCACGGGUGAGUAACGCGUAGAUAACCUGUCUUCAUGUCUGGAAUAAUACGCCGAAAGGGGUACUAAUACCGGAUAUUCUUGCUUUUCAUAAGUUAUGCAAGCAAAGGUGGCCUCUGCAUAUGCUACUGCAUGAAGAGGGGUCUGCGUACCAUUAGCUAGUAGGUGGGGUAAUGGCCUACCUAGGCGACGAUGGUUAGCGGGUCUGAGAGGAUGAUCCGCCACACUGGCACUGGAACACGGGCCAGACUCCUACGGGAGGCAGCAGUGAGGAAUAUUGCGCAAUGGGGGAAACCCUGACGCAGCGACGCCGCGUGAGUGAAGGAAGGCCUUCGGGUCGUAAAGCUCUGUCAAGAGGAAAGAAGUGUACAAUGGCUAAUACCUGUUGUAUUUGACGGUACCUCUAAAGGAAGCACCGGCUAACUCCGUGCCAGCAGCCGC
RNAcentral lists this ribosomal RNA (512 nucleotides) under uncultured bacterium. RNAcentral's name for it is "bacterial SSU rRNA". It matches the Rfam family "Bacterial small subunit ribosomal RNA", at positions 29 to 518 of the family's 1533-position model. The record is from RNAcentral.